GGGUCUGGCGGGUGCCUAAUACAUGCAAGUCGAACGCGUUGGCCCAAUUGAUUGAUGGUGCUUGCACCUGAUUGAUUUUGGUCGCCAACGAGUGGCGGACGGGUGAGUAACACGUAGGUAACCUGCCCAGAAGCGGGGGACAACAUUUGGAAACAGAUGCUAAUACCGCAUAACAGCGUUGUUCGCAUGAACAACGCUUAAAAGAUGGCUUCUCGCUAUCACUUCUGGAUGGACCUGCGGUGCAUUAGCUUGUUGGUGGGGUAACGGCCUACCAAGGCGAUGAUGCAUAGCCGAGUUGAGAGACUGAUCGGCCACAAUGGGACUGAGACACGGCCCAUACUCCUACGGGAGGCAGCAGUAGGGAAUCUUCCACAAUGGGCGCAAGCCUGAUGGAGCAACACCGCGUGAGUGAAGAAGGGUUUCGGCUCGUAAAGCUCUGUUGUUAAAGAAGAACACGUAUGAGAGUAACUGUUCAUACGUUGACGGUAUUUAACCAGAAAGUCACGGCUAACUACGUGCCAGCAGCCGCGGUAAUACGUAGGUGGCAAGCGUUAUCCGGAUUUAUUGGGCGUAAAGAGAGUGCAGGCGGUUUUCUAAGUCUGAUGUGAAAGCCUUCGGCUUAACCGGAGAAGUGCAUCGGAAACUGGAUAACUUGAGUGCAGAAGAGGGUAGUGGAACUCCAUGUGUAGCGGUGGAAUGCGUAGAUAUAUGGAAGAACACCAGUGGCGAAGGCGGCUACCUGGUCUGCAACUGACGCUGAGACUCGAAAGCAUGGGUAGCGAACAGGAUUAGAUACCCUGGUAGUCCAUGCCGUAAACGAUGAGUGCUAGGUGUUGGAGGGUUUCCGCCCUUCAGUGCCGGAGCUAACGCAUUAAGCACUCCGCCUGGGGAGUACGACCGCAAGGUUGAAACUCAAAGGAAUUGAC
Molecule: ribosomal RNA, 926 nt
Filed under: Limosilactobacillus fermentum
Lineage: Bacteria; Bacillati; Bacillota; Bacilli; Lactobacillales; Lactobacillaceae
Description: bacterial SSU rRNA
Rfam family: Bacterial small subunit ribosomal RNA
Source: RNAcentral